AGUUUAGUGUCUCAAUCUUUAUAGAGUACAUGGUGAUAUGAACUUGAGCUAGUGGACAUGUUAAGGUCUACCAAGGGGAUACGUACUCUAAGAAAUGUCUUGUUUCUGUCAAAAUAGGGCUAAUUAGCGUGCCUAUCUAGUGCAAGGCACAAGCACAUAAAUGUGAGUUAUGGCAGUAUAGCUACCCUAGAUGGAGGUAAGGAUACCACUACUGGCAGUUAUCAGUGGACAGCCCAGUUAGGGCAAGUUGAUAGUAUCAGUGGG
RNAcentral lists this unclassified non-coding RNA (264 nucleotides) under Hevea brasiliensis (rubber tree). The record is from RNAcentral. Lineage: Eukaryota; Viridiplantae; Streptophyta; Magnoliopsida; Malpighiales; Euphorbiaceae.